RNAcentral lists this ribosomal RNA (460 nucleotides) under Brachymonas sp. canine oral taxon 015. Its description in RNAcentral is "bacterial SSU rRNA". It matches the Rfam family "Bacterial small subunit ribosomal RNA", at positions 9 to 464 of the family's 1533-position model. The record is from RNAcentral. Lineage: Bacteria; Pseudomonadati; Pseudomonadota; Betaproteobacteria; Burkholderiales; Comamonadaceae.
GAGUUUGAUUCUGGCUCAGAUUGAACGCUGGCGGCAUGCUUUACACAUGCAAGUCGAACGGCAGCACAAGGAGCUUGCUCCUGGGUGGCGAGUGGCGAACGGGUGAGUAAUGUAUCGGAACGUGCCUGGUAGUGGGGGAUAACUACUCGAAAGAGUGGCUAAUACCGCAUGAGAUCUUUGGAUGAAAGUGGGGGACCUUCGGGCCUCGCGCUACUGGAGCGGCCGAUAUCAGAUUAGGUUGUUGGUGGGGUAAAGGCCUACCAAGCCUGCGAUCUGUAGCUGGUCUGAGAGGACGACCAGCCACACUGGGACUGAGACACGGCCCAGACUCCUACGGGAGGCAGCAGUGGGGAAUUUUGGACAAUGGGCGCAAGCCUGAUCCAGCAAUGCCGCGUGCAGGAUGAAGGCCCUCGGGUUGUAAACUGCUUUUGUACAGAACGAAAAGUCUUCUGGCUAAUAC